UACCCUUGACAUGUCUGGAAUCCCGAAGAGAUUUGGGGGUGCUCGCAAGAGAACCGGAACACAGGUGCUGCAUGGCUGUCGUCAGCUCGUGUCGUGAGAUGUUGGGUUAAGUCCCGCAACGAGCGCAACCCUUGUCAUUAGUUGCUACGAAAGGGCACUCUAAUGAGACUGCCGGUGACAAACCGGAGGAAGGUGGGGAUGACGUCAAGUCCUCAUGGCCCUUAUGGGUAGGGCUUCACACGUCAUACAAUGGUCGGGACAGAGGGUCGCCAACCCGCGAGGGGGGAGCUAAUCUCAGAAACCCGAUCGUAGUCCGGAUUGUAGGCUGUAAUUCGCCUGCAUGAAGUCGGAAUCGCUAGUAAUCGCGGAUCAGAAUGUCGCGGUGAAUACGUUCCCGGGUCUUGUACACACCGCCCGUCACACCAUGGGAGUGGGUUUCACCAGAAGUAGGUAGCCUAACCGUAAGGAGGGCGCUUACCACGGUGGGAUUCAUGACUGGGGUGAAGUCGUAACAAGGUAAGCGUAGUGCU
RNAcentral lists this ribosomal RNA (530 nucleotides) under uncultured bacterium. RNAcentral's name for it is "bacterial SSU rRNA". It matches the Rfam family "Bacterial small subunit ribosomal RNA", at positions 976 to 1509 of the family's 1533-position model. The record is from RNAcentral.